This 737-nucleotide ribosomal RNA is filed under the name Salmonella enterica. RNAcentral describes it as "partial 23S ribosomal RNA". It matches the Rfam family "Bacterial large subunit ribosomal RNA", at positions 1 to 1219 of the family's 2925-position model. Lineage: Bacteria; Pseudomonadati; Pseudomonadota; Gammaproteobacteria; Enterobacterales; Enterobacteriaceae. The record is from RNAcentral. RNAcentral also lists the same sequence under 1 other name.
CCACCACUAAGCCAGUGGUGAACUCCACAUACGCAUCCUUUGCUGAGGAUACGGUUAACGGAGCGAAAGCGACGUUCAACCGCAAAAGAAGCAGAGGGGGCUUAGUGGUGGGGUGACUGCGUACCUUUUGUAUAAUGGGUCAGCGACUUAUAUUCUGUAGCAAGGUUAACCGUAUAGGGGAGCCGGAGGGAAACCGAGUCUUAACCGGGCGUUAAGUUGCAGGGUAUAGACCCGAAACCCGGUGAUCUAGCCAUGGGCAGGUUGAAGGUUGGGUAACACUAACUGGAGGACCGAACCGACUAAUGUUGAAAAAUUAGCGGAUGACUUGUGGCUGGGGGUGAAAGGCCAAUCAAACCGGGAGAUAGCUGGUUCUCCCCGAAAGCUAUUUAGGUAGCGCCUCGUGAAUUCAUCUUCGGGGGUAGAGCACUGUUUCGGCUAGGGGGUCAUCCCGACUUACCAACCCGAUGCAAACUGCGAAUACCGGAGAAUGUUAUCACGGGAGACACACGGCGGGUGCUAACGUCCGUCGUGAAGAGGGAAACAACCCAGACCGCCAGCUAAGGUCCCAAAGUCAUGGUUAAGUGGGAAACGAUGUGGGAAGGCCCAGACAGCCAGGAUGUUGGCUUAGAAGCAGCCAUCAUUUAAAGAAAGCGUAAUAGCUCACUGGUCGAGUCGGCCUGCGCGGAAGAUGUAACGGGGCUAAACCAUGCACCGAAGCUGCGGCAGCGACACUCAGG